Non-coding RNA from Paramormyrops kingsleyae, 332 nucleotides. NCBI's taxonomy places the organism in Eukaryota, Metazoa, Chordata, Actinopteri, Osteoglossiformes, Mormyridae. The record is from RefSeq and is a predicted model, not a curated record.
UGCGGAGAGAGCCUGCCUUUCAUAAUCCCUGUAGCCAUGUUUCACAUUGUGGAGUUUCUGGAAACCCAAGAAGUUGAAGUUGUGCCAGCACUGUGGGUUGCAGAUGAAAUUUGUCAAUGGCCAGCUCACUACAAACCUGACGAAUUAGUGAAGGCCAUACGGAGCCAGGAGCAGCCUGGACACACAUGGGAUGCAUUUCAUGUUCGAAUUUUAUAUACAGCUGCAAACUACAAAAGUGCUCGACUAAAACUUCCUGAAGCUGAAGCCCACACUGAUCUUCAAACAGCAGAGGAAGACGAGGAUGUCAAUCCAAAGAAAAAGCGAAAACGCCU